RNAcentral lists this ribosomal RNA (484 nucleotides) under uncultured bacterium. RNAcentral describes it as "partial 16S ribosomal RNA". It matches the Rfam family "Bacterial small subunit ribosomal RNA", at positions 30 to 507 of the family's 1533-position model. The record is from RNAcentral.
AUUGAACGCUGGCGGCAGGCCUAACACAUGCAAGUCGAGCGGAUGAAGGGAGCUUGCUCCUGGAUUCAGCGGCGGACGGGUGAGUAAUGCCUAGGAAUCUGCCUGGUAGUGGGGGAUAACGUCCGGAAACGGGCGCUAAUACCGCAUACGUCCUGAGGUAGAAAGUGGGGGAUCUUCGGACCUCACGCUAUCAGAUGAGCCUAGGUCGGAUUAGCUAGUUGGUGGGGUAAAGGCCUACCAAGGCGACGAUCCGUAACUGGGCUGAGAGGAUGAUCAGUCACACUGGAACUGAGACACGGUCCAGACUCCUACGGGAGGCAGCAGUGGGGAAUAUUGGACAAUGGGCGAAAGCCUGAUCCAGCCAAGCCGCGUGUGUGAAGAAGGUCUUCGGAUUGUAAAGCACUUUAAGUUGGGAGGAAGGGCAGUAAGUUAAUACCUUGCUGUUUUGACGUUACCAACAGAAUAAGCACCGGCUAACUUCGUG